This 250-nucleotide ribosomal RNA is filed under the name uncultured bacterium. Its description in RNAcentral is "partial 16S ribosomal RNA". It matches the Rfam family "Bacterial small subunit ribosomal RNA", at positions 524 to 773 of the family's 1533-position model. The record is from RNAcentral.
UACAGAGGGUGCAAGCGUUAAUCGGAUUUACUGGGCGUAAAGGGCGCGUAGGUGGUUACGUAAGUGAGAUGUGAAAGCCCCGGGCUUAACCUGGGAACUGCAUCUUAUACUGCGUAGCUGGAGUACAUGAGAGGGUAGUGGAAUUUCCGGUGUAGCGGUGAAAUGCGUAGAUAUCGGAAGGAACACCAGUGGCGAAGGCGGCUACCUGGCAUGAUACUGACACUGAGGCGCGAGAGCGUGGGGAGCAAAC